UGCGGUGGCAAUGGCCUGGGGGUUCCACCUGUUCCCAUUCCGAACACAGAAGUUAAGCCCCAGCGCGUCGAUGGUACUUGGCUGGACACGGCCCGGGAGAGUAGAUCGCCGCCGCAU
RNAcentral lists this ribosomal RNA (117 nucleotides) under Candidatus Limiplasma stercoravium. The record is from RNAcentral. Lineage: Bacteria; Bacillati; Bacillota; Clostridia; Eubacteriales.